GAAUAUAAUCUUCACAUCUUAUAAAUCUAUCGACCAAAAUUUUCAUUUGGUCGAACAUUUGUAUCCAUCAAAUUCCGCGAUUGCAACGCUGUAACAUAGCUUUUGGCUACUCCAUUAAAUCAUAAUCGGUCGUGUGUAUCGCAUGCAAUCUGGCUUACUUCGGUUAUCAAGGCUCGUAAAGAACGGAAAAUCGGCGAUAAGCCGCGACAAUGCACGGGCUCCGGACUGGUCCUGAUUUCUUUUCACCCAGACCCCGGCCACUCGUGUAUUUUGUUGGUGCGACAAUCGUCUUCGCUCGACCCGUCCGCACCGGGCAGAAAAAAGUUACCAUGACGAAUCGCAAUCGCGACACGACAUUUUCGAGGUUUGCUGGUAUUGAGAGAAAGGAUAUUUAUACAAAAUAGACUAUUUAAAUUUCUUAUUAUUUUUAUUAUUAAUAUAGCAAAAGAGAAAAAUCUUUUUUUUUAUACAUAUUAUAUGAUUUUAAAGGUUAUUUUCAAUUUUUUUUAUCUUUGAUAUUGUAAUUUUUUGCAAUAUUUCUCAAUCUUUUUAUUACUUGAUUCGGCAUGUUAUAUUGCGAUUUAUAGAUUGAGAAAUAUUGAUCUUUUUUUUUCAUAUAAAGUGUAAAUUUUUUAAUAUGGUAACUCUAUCCUUCUCUAAAUAUAUUCCCAUUGAUAUAAUCUACAAUUUCAAAACAACAAAUCGACAGAAAAAUAAUUUCAUCGGUUUAUUCCAAAAUUCUAUAUCUUUCUAUAUCUUUAUUGUUAUAUCUUUC
Molecule: long non-coding RNA, 775 nt
Organism: Apis dorsata (giant honeybee)
Lineage: Eukaryota; Metazoa; Arthropoda; Insecta; Hymenoptera; Apidae
Exons: 2
Source: RefSeq, a predicted model, not a curated record